GUGCUCCCUUCAGCAGCACAUGCACUAACAUUAGAAUGGUACAGAGAAGUUUAGUAUGGCCUCCCCGCACAAGGAUGACAUGCAAAUUUGCAAAGUGUUCCCUAUUUUU
Small nuclear RNA from Talpa occidentalis (Iberian mole), 109 nucleotides. The record is from RefSeq and is a predicted model, not a curated record. Lineage: Eukaryota; Metazoa; Chordata; Mammalia; Eulipotyphla; Talpidae.